This 480-nucleotide ribosomal RNA is filed under the name uncultured Acholeplasma sp. Its description in RNAcentral is "bacterial SSU rRNA". It matches the Rfam family "Bacterial small subunit ribosomal RNA", at positions 897 to 1382 of the family's 1533-position model. Lineage: Bacteria; Bacillati; Mycoplasmatota; Mollicutes; Acholeplasmatales; Acholeplasmataceae. The record is from RNAcentral.
AAACUUAAAUGAAUUGACGGGACCCCGCACAAGCGGUGGAUCAUGUUGUUUAAUUCGAUGAUACGCGAAGAACCUUACCAGGUCUUGACAUCCCCCGCAAUGCUAUGGAGACAUAGCGGAGGUAUUCGGGGAGACAGGUGGUGCAUGGUUGUCGUCAGCUCGUGUCGUGAGAUGUUGGGUUAAGUCCCGCAACGAGCGCAACCCUUAUUGCUAGUUACCAUCAUUGAGUUGGGGACUCUAGCGAGACUGCCAGUGAUAAACUGGGGGAAGGUGGGGAUGACGUCAAAUCAUCAUGCCCCUUAUGACCUGGGCUACAAACGUGAUACAAUGGCUGAAACAGAGGGAGGCGAAGGGGUGACCUGGAGCGAAACCCAGAAAAACAGUCUCAGUUCGGAUUGAAGUCUGCAACUCGACUUCAUGAAGUCGGAAUCGCUAGUAAUCGCGGAUCAGAACGCCGCGGUGAAUACGUUCUCGGGGUUU